This 47-nucleotide transfer RNA is filed under the name Fredericella sp. 1 HH-2013. Its description in RNAcentral is "tRNA-Tyr". Lineage: Eukaryota; Metazoa; Bryozoa; Phylactolaemata; Fredericellidae. The record is from RNAcentral.
UAUUGUAGUCUUCAAGGCCUUGUAAGAGCCUCUCCUAAGAUGCUGUC